RNAcentral lists this ribosomal RNA (279 nucleotides) under uncultured bacterium. RNAcentral's name for it is "partial 16S ribosomal RNA". It matches the Rfam family "Bacterial small subunit ribosomal RNA", at positions 506 to 784 of the family's 1533-position model. The record is from RNAcentral.
UGCCAGCCGCCGCGGUAACACGUACUGUGCGAACGUUAUCCGGAAUCACUGGGUUUAAAGGGUUCGUAGGCGGACCGAUAAGUCAGAGGUGAAAGCCAACGGCUCAACCGUUGAACUGCCUCUGAUACUGUCGGUCUUGAGUCCGUUAGGGGAUGGUGGAAUUCCUGGUGCAGCGGUGAAAUGCGUAAAUAUCAGGAGGAACACCGGUGGCGAAGGCGACCAUCUGGGACGGAACUGACGCUGAUGAACGAAAGCUAGGGUAUCAAACGGGAUUAGAUA